AUUCUUUCCAUGGUUUACACACUUACCCAGCAGGGAUUAGAUGUUUCUCCUGAAUUUCAUUUAGCCCCCCUGUUCAUAUUUCUAACAUAUGCACCAUGUUUUAUUUUAUCUUUUCUUGGUUUUCAAUAAAUGUUUGUUGAAUGAAUAAAUAAAUGAAUGAUGAGAAAAUUAAGAAUCCUCUAUAAUGAAAGCGGCAAAGAAAAAUAUAUUUCCUAUGAAAGCGUAAUAAAUAGAAUGCCAUAAGAGCUGCUGUAUAUGAAAUCAAAUACACUUUCUGAAGAUUCACCAAAAUUGUGCAAUGAUCAUACAAUGACUUGGGAUUUGAAUUAUCAUCAUUUUUAAUCCUUUUUUUUUUUUUUUUUUUUUUUUUCCUUUAGUGCCACUCCUGAGCCUGGGAACCUCCAUAUGCCACGGGAAGCAGCCCUAGAAAAGGCAAAAAGACAAAAAAAAAAAAAAAGAUGAAGACUGCUUUGCAUGAAGUGAACAAUUCCCAUUUUUCCAAAGGUAACUUAUUCGGUGAUGUUCCUGUAACAGGUAGAUUCAACAGUAGAGCAUCUGAAUAAACUAAUACCUAGGAGUGAAGGCUCUGAAGAAUGUUGAUACUUGAAGUACUAAGGAAUGCAGACCUACUUUUCAAGACCCAAGGCAUUCCUGUGAAAUCCUAGCAGGCUUGUAAACAUCCUGCAUUAAAGAAUUGGCUAAAAAUAGCAACCAGCUUGGUGGUAGGCUGAUAAAAGAAUAGAUGUCAAUUACUUUGUGGUAGCCUAUGAGCUCAGGAUCUUUAUAAACCUGUGUUUUCCCAUGGAUAUUCUAUUUCUUACUAUCCCAAUUAAAAUAGAUCCUACUCCAUUUUUUUAAAAAAAAUCUCUGUCUCUCUUCAAACUUUGUUAUUAGACAUAUUCUUCCAGGAUAAUAGGAAGCCAUUUAAGAAAAUCUUCUUCCAAAGCCACCAUUCUGAAGCAUUUGAGUUUCUCAUCUUCACUUCCACAAACUUUUCACUAUUAGGAGAUAGUCAACUUGAUCAGCGCCACAAGAGGCGAGAUUUAGUUUUCAAGUGACAUUUUAAAAAGUUUAAAAAAAGCCCUGCACUGAUUGUUAAGUACCUACAAAUAUGCUUAGCUAAUCCUUGUGGUAUUGGUGUUAUCCCUAAUUUAGAAAUGGCUAAGUGGAGAAAGAUUAAAGCUGCCCAGGAAAAGAUUAAAUGGUAGCUGUUUUAUGUCUUUGAGAAAGGGAAGCAUGGAAAAUUGAAACCCACAAAUAAUACAGAAAUAUGACUUAAGCUAAAAGCUAUCUGGUUUACCUGCUUUCUGCCUUUCUGAUCUUCUGCACCCUCGAUGAAGAGGAAGUUAGACUGGCAAUUGCCAAGGAAGGAGUCAGCCUUCUCCUCCAAGCCUCUGCCUCUUAUGGGCUAAGGGGAUCUCAUCAAAAGUGGAACUCCCAUAGCUUGCUUUCUUUUUCAUUAAAUGGAUUACUAAAGAAGCAUUUUGAUGACCCAUCUUUAGGACUCUCAUAUUCUGUGAAUUUGUUCAGGUGACUUUUCUUAUAACUUCUCAUCAGUAAAAGAGAAGAUAAUAACAUUCUUUCCUUUCCUUUUUAUCAAGAUUCAAAAUUCAAAAUGUUGCAUUGAUUGAAAAUUCAACAUUGUGAAUAGACUCAAAAUUAAUUUUACUAAGUUCCAAGAUUUAAAGUAUUGAGUCUUUGAAGCAUUCUAGCUUCUUAAGGGAAACUAGUGUACAUUCAUAAGUACACUAUUUCUUGUCAAUUUCUUUUGAGUUGCCCAUUAAAAAAUAAAAUAAAAACAUUCAAGAUUUAAGUUACAUCACAUUUGGAUUCUCUCAGACCGGAUUCUCUCAGACCUACACACUCUAUUCUGCUCUAUUUUUUCACUUUCAAUCACUUGAGCACUUUUAGGAAGGAUGGAAGGGGGUACUUUGUGUGGCAAUGCUAGACAAGCAGGAUCUGUUACAAGUUCCCUGGCUGAAUAAGUACACUUCUUUCAGCACUAUUGUACAUCAGCUGUCUCCAGUUACAGCCAAAGUAGGUGUGUAAUAUAUGACUGGACCUGCUACUAAUGCAGGUACACAAAUCCUGGGACAGAGACACCUUGUGCUGCCGUAAAUUGAUCUGCCCAGGCUUCCACUGAGUCAUCGGCACACAAAACGGGAGUUCACAUCAGAGAUGGUGGGAAUAGGUUUGAGUUCCGAUUUUUAUCUGGCUAUUCAAGAUCUGUAAAAGGAGUGAAUUUUAAAGUCCUCUUUUGUAGACAGUAUGAAGACCAUUUAAAUAUCCUGAACAUUCUGAAUUUAGAACUCUGAGUCUAAAAUUCCCCCCCCUUAAUAUUUAAAAUGGUGUGACAUAAAAAUCUAAUUUUCUUAUCACUAUUUUUAUCUGGCUUUAUAUUUUUCCUUAGAAUUGCUUUUCAUCCAAAGUGAAAAGCAUAUCGUUUGCAUUUCUUUAAAUGGAAAUACUAAGACUAUCAGUAUUAUUGAGGAAAAUAAAUGAAGAAGGUGACAUCUAAAGUUAAUUCCUUUCUUUGAAUAAUAGUUCAGAAUAGUAGUCAUUUUUUUUGCAUGUUGUCAGACUCUGAAAUAUUUGUUCAUACUGUCAGAAAUCAUUUACCCUAUUUUCUGAGUUACUGUGAAGCUGAUUGGGGAAUUAUAUUAUGGAAAAGGCAUUGGAAGUGCCCCUGGAAAUAUUGUGAUAUAAGUAGUAGAUGCUGUUGUGACUCUAUAAGAAAAGUUAAGACAUGGGAAAAGCAAAGCCAAUAUCUCACUUAUACAAUUCAAUAGGUAAUUUAGAGCAUCAGAUAUGUCUCAUCUUGGGCUGGGUUUCUCAGAGAUGCAUAGUUUGGAAAGAUGACAAGAAGAAAAUAACAUACCA
Molecule: long non-coding RNA, 2880 nt
Filed under: Sus scrofa (pig)
Lineage: Eukaryota; Metazoa; Chordata; Mammalia; Artiodactyla; Suidae
Description: lncRNA (ENSSSCG00035019972.1)
Source: RNAcentral